This 18-nucleotide small nuclear RNA is filed under the name Arabidopsis thaliana (thale cress). Its description in RNAcentral is "snRNA_11721". Lineage: Eukaryota; Viridiplantae; Streptophyta; Magnoliopsida; Brassicales; Brassicaceae. The record is from RNAcentral.
AUCUUCAGGAUCUCCUUG